UGGGUAAAUCGAACGGCUUAACCCGUUCGACCCCCUAGGAGACUGCCUGGCUUGAGACCGGGAGAGGCCGGAGGUACUCUAGGGGUAGGGGUGAAAUCCUGUAAUCCCUAGGGGACCACCUGUGGCGAAGGCGUCCGGCUUGAACGGGUCUGACGGUGAGGGACGAAGGCCAGGGGCGCAAACCGGAUUAGAUACCCGGGUAGUCCUGGCUGUAAACGCUGCGGGCUUGGUGUUGGGGGUCCUUCGAGGGCACCCAGUGCCGUAGAGAAGUUGUUAAGCCCGCCACCUGGGGAGUACGGCCGCAAGGCUGAAACUUAAAGGAAUUGGCGGGGGAGCACUGCAACGGGAGGAGCGUGCGGUUUAAUUGGAUUCAACGCCGGACAACUCACCAGGGGCGACCACCGUAUGAGGCUCAGCCUGACGAGCUUAGCCGAUAGGUGGAGAGGUGGUGCAUGGCCGUCGUCAGUUCGUACCGUAGGGCGUUCUCUUAAGUGAGAUAACGAACGAGACCCCCGCCCCUAUUUGCUACCUUUCCCUCCGGGGAAAGGGCACAAUAGGGGGACCGCCGCUGCUAAAGCGGAGGAAGGUGGGGUCAACGGUAGGUCAGUAUGCCCCGAAUCCCCUGGGCUACACGCGCGCUACAAAGGGCAGGACAGAGGGUUCCGACACCGAAAGGUGAAGGUAAUCCCGAAACCUGUCCGUAGUUCGGAUUGAGGGCUGUAACCCGCCCUCAUGAAGGUGGAUUCCGUAGUAAUCGCGGUCAACU
This 766-nucleotide ribosomal RNA is filed under the name uncultured archaeon. RNAcentral's name for it is "bacterial SSU rRNA". It matches the Rfam family "Archaeal small subunit ribosomal RNA", at positions 542 to 1309 of the family's 1478-position model. The record is from RNAcentral.